RNAcentral lists this ribosomal RNA (253 nucleotides) under uncultured bacterium. RNAcentral's name for it is "partial 16S ribosomal RNA". It matches the Rfam family "Bacterial small subunit ribosomal RNA", at positions 524 to 776 of the family's 1533-position model. The record is from RNAcentral.
UACGUAGGGGGCAAGCGUUGUCCGGAAUCAUUGGGCGUAAAGAGCGUGUAGGCGGCUUGGUAGGUCCGCUGUGAAAACUCGAGGCUCAACCUCGAGAUGUCGGCGGAAACCACUUGGCUAGAGUCCGGAAGAGGAGAGUGGAAUUCCUGGUGUAGCGGUGAAAUGCGCAGAUAUCAGGAAGAACACCUAUGGCGAAGGCAGCUCUCUGGGACGGUACUGACGCUGAGACGCGAAAGCGUGGGGAGCGAACAGG